Molecule: non-coding RNA, 1054 nt
Organism: Heterocephalus glaber (naked mole-rat)
Lineage: Eukaryota; Metazoa; Chordata; Mammalia; Rodentia; Bathyergidae
Source: RefSeq, a predicted model, not a curated record
UUUUUUUUCCAUUGCCUUAUUUUGAGAUCUGUUUUUCUAUUUCUUCUUUGUUCUACUUGGAAGCCUCCUGUUUCUGGUUAUCAGUGGUUAUCUCUUCAUAUCUGAGAAAGUAGGUUUGGCUACUGGUGUGGAUUUCUUUUGCUGUCAUACAGAGAUUUGUGUCACACUCAGAACUGUCCCUGCAUCUGCCUGCUUGGGAUACAGAAGUAGGGAUAGUCAUUGCUCUGGCUGUUUACAGUGAAUCAGAUGGGGACUGAUUGCACCACAGGCACAUAAAAAGAUCCCAGUGGAUUCUGGAGAUAUACUGUCCUCCAAUUUUGCAAAUGUGACUGCUGCAUCCAUCAAUGAUGUGAUUAAAGAAGGUUUUAUAGAUCUAUCUACUUUUUGGUGAAAAGACUUCCUGGCUGUGUGUCUUCUGAAAAAUGAAAAAAAAAAAAAUCUCCCCACCUGAGAAGCCCUUUCAUUUAUAAUUGUUUCUUAGACAAGAAGAGGAGGUGGAUGAAUGUUUAGCUGUCUUGCACCAGCUUGCACCCACGGAUUAUUUAGUUUAAUCUCAGGAAAAAGGAGAAACAUAUGUUUUCAUCAUGGCAGAUUUUUACAGAAAUACAUAUGCAAGUGACUUUAAAAAAAAAAGAAUAUAUAUUGAAGGGAUCGAACUCGGGACCUUGCGCUUGCAAGGCGGGCACCGGAACCACUGAGCUAAAUCCCUGGCCCUACCAGACUAUUUCUAAGUAUGAAUCAUCACUCUUUGCUUGGCAUUCAGAUAGCAUUUUCAGGCAUACUUUUACAUUUGAAGUAUUGUUUUAUGGAAGAAAUGAUUAAUAUAAACUGAAAGAGACAUUCCAGAGAACAUCAUUGUUUCCACAAUAAGUCAAUAUGAUUGUUGUGGAAAAACAGACAUCUCCAUCCAUUUAUAGCAAAACGAAUGUCCCCCCAAAGCCUCAUAUUCUCAGAGGAAGCACUUCUGGAAGAAGUUUUAGCAUCUCAUCCUGAUUGAACAAGAUCACAUUGGGUCCAUAUUUCAUAUAAUCAGUCAACCUGUUGGGACCCCUCA